GAGGAUAUAGCUCAGUGGUAGAGUGUAUGCCUGGGGUGCAUGAGGUCAUGGGUUCAAUCCCUGGUACCUCCA
This 72-nucleotide transfer RNA is filed under the name Camelus bactrianus (Bactrian camel). It matches the Rfam family "tRNA". Rfam says of the family: Transfer RNA (tRNA) molecules are approximately 80 nucleotides in length. Their secondary structure includes four short double-helical elements and three loops (D, anti-codon, and T loops). RNAcentral also lists the same sequence under 2 other names. The record is from Rfam by way of RNAcentral. Lineage: Eukaryota; Metazoa; Chordata; Mammalia; Artiodactyla; Camelidae.